Ananas comosus (pineapple) is the source of this 712-nucleotide long non-coding RNA. RefSeq lists it as uncharacterized. Lineage: Eukaryota; Viridiplantae; Streptophyta; Magnoliopsida; Poales; Bromeliaceae. The record is from RefSeq and is a predicted model, not a curated record. The transcript is spliced from 3 exons.
UGGCCGAAGGGCUGGCGAUGGGCUGCCGUGCUGUUCGCGGAGAGGUGUGAUAGGAAGUGCUGUAGGAGGAUGAGAGCAUUGCCGUGAGAGCCAUGCAGAAGGCUAUAGCCCUCAUGUUGAUAUGAAAAACCAUCUCAGCACUCACUUCACUACCUGCACACAUUUGUGUUUAACGCACCGCCAUUUGAUUAAUACCUCUAUAUAUAGGCGAGAUGAGUUGCGCGUCUCUCUCUCUUUCUCGUUCCUCCUCUCUCUAGUUAGAAGAACUGAAAGUGGUGGAGAAGAAAAACUUUGGAGCAUAGCAUGGAGUAUGGGCUGGAUUGCCCGGAAUCCACGGCAUGAUAUAUUGGUCCCACAUGUUGACAUAUGUGGAAAGGAACUGGGAACAAGAUAACUACAGAUAAAAGCAGAAGCAGAAGUCCAUGGAAAAGAGUGCGACCACGCGUGGAAAUUUGUUGACCGGGCCCAGAAGCUAUUGACUUCAUUAUGAUGCAGAGCGAAGUUGCGAUCGCUUUCAUGGCGGGACAUGCCGUAUCUUCUCCACUUCUUCGUGUAUUUGUACCUACUUAUAUAUCACUUUAUCCCUGGUGUUUAUUUUUGUAGUACGACAUAUUUGAUAGUUCUUUACCUAAUCCCAAGGUAAUGUUGUAAUUUACUCAAAAUGCAGUGUACAUGAAACUUUAAAAAAUUAGAAUACGUUUUGAGUUUGAAG